UGGGGAAUAUUGCACAAUGGGCGCAAGCCUGAUGCAGCAAUGCCGCGUGUGUGAAGAAGGCCUUAGGGUUGUAAAGCACUUUCAAUAGAGAUGAAAAGCUUGAGAAUAAUACUUUCAAGUAUUGACGUAACCUAUAGAAGAAGCACCGGCUAAUUCCGUGCCAGCAGCCGCGGUAAUACGGAAGGUGCGAGCGUUAAUCGGAAUUACUGGGCGUAAAGCGCGCGUAGGCUGUUAAAUAAGUCGUAUGUGAAAUCCCCGGGCUUAACCUGGGAACUGCAUCCGAAACUAUUUAGCUAGAGUAUGGGAGAGGGAAGUAGAAUUUCCGGUGUAGCGGUGAAAUGCGUAGAUAUCGGAAGGAAUACCAGUGGCGAAGGCGGCUUCCUGGACCAAUACUGACGCUGAGGUGCGAAAGCGUGGGGAGCAAACAGG
RNAcentral lists this ribosomal RNA (429 nucleotides) under uncultured bacterium. RNAcentral describes it as "bacterial SSU rRNA". It matches the Rfam family "Bacterial small subunit ribosomal RNA", at positions 355 to 776 of the family's 1533-position model. The record is from RNAcentral.